GAUGAACGCUGGCGGCGUGCUUAACACAUGCAAGUCGAACGGAAAGGCCCAAGCUUGCUUGGGUACUCGAGUGGCGAACGGGUGAGUAACACGUGGGUGAUCUGCCCUGCACUUCGGGAUAAGCCUGGGAAACUGGGUCUAAUACCGGAUAGGACGAUGGUUUGGAUGCCGUUGUGGAAAGUUUUUUCGGUGUGGGAUGAGCUCGCGGCCUAUCAGCUUGUUGGUGGGGUGAUGGCCUACCAAGGCGUCGACGGGUAGCCGGCCUGAGAGGGUGUACGGCCACAUUGGGACGGAGAUACGGCCCAGAGUCCCACGGGAGGGAGCAGUGGGGAAUAUUGCACAAUGGGCGCAAGACUGAGGCAGCGACGCCGCGUGGGGGAUGACGGCCUUCGGGUUGUAAACUCCGCUCGCUAGUGACGAAGCGUGUUUGUGACGGUACCUGGAGAAGAAGCACCGGCUAACUACGUG
RNAcentral lists this ribosomal RNA (468 nucleotides) under uncultured bacterium. RNAcentral's name for it is "partial 16S ribosomal RNA". It matches the Rfam family "Bacterial small subunit ribosomal RNA", at positions 28 to 507 of the family's 1533-position model. The record is from RNAcentral.